CGGGUGAGUAACACGUGGAUAACCUACCUAUAAGACUGGGAUAACUUCGGGAAACCGGAGCUAAUACCGGAUAAUAUAUUGAACCGCAUGGUUCAAUAGUGAAAGACGGUUUUGCUGUCACUUAUAGAUGGAUCCGCGCUGCAUUAGCUAGUUGGUAAGGUAACGGCUUACCAAGGCAACGAUGCGUAGCCGACCUGAGAGGGUGAUCGGCCACACUGGAACUGAGACACGGUCCAGACUCCUACGGGGAGGGCGAGCAGCA
Molecule: ribosomal RNA, 262 nt
Filed under: uncultured Staphylococcus sp.
Lineage: Bacteria; Bacillati; Bacillota; Bacilli; Caryophanales; Staphylococcaceae
Description: partial 16S ribosomal RNA
Rfam family: Bacterial small subunit ribosomal RNA
Source: RNAcentral